GAUGAACGCUAGCUACAGGCUUAACACAUGCAAGUCGAGGGGAAACGACAUCGAAAGCUUGCUUUUGAUGGGCGUCGACCGGCGCACGGGUGAGUAACGCGUAUCCAACCUGCCCACCACUUGGGGAUAACCUUGCGAAAGUAAGACUAAUACCCAAUGAUAUCCCACGAAGACAUCUGAAUGGGAUUAAAGAUUUAUCGGUGAUGGAUGGGGAUGCGUCUGAUUAGCUUGUUGGCGGGGUAACGGCCCACCAAGGCAACGAUCAGUAGGGGUUCUGAGAGGAAGGUCCCCUACAUUGGAACUGAGACACGGUCCAAACUCCUACGGGAGGCAGCAGUGAGGAAUAUUGGUCAAUGGGCGAGAGCCUGAACCAGCCAAGUAGCGUGCAGGAAGACGGCCCUAUGGGUUGUAAACUGCUUUUAUAAGGGAAUAAAGUGGGUCACGUGUGACUUUUUGCAUGUACCUUAUGAAUAAGGACCGGCUAAUUCCGUG
This 492-nucleotide ribosomal RNA is filed under the name uncultured bacterium. RNAcentral describes it as "partial 16S ribosomal RNA". It matches the Rfam family "Bacterial small subunit ribosomal RNA", at positions 28 to 507 of the family's 1533-position model. The record is from RNAcentral.